This 468-nucleotide ribosomal RNA is filed under the name uncultured bacterium. RNAcentral describes it as "partial 16S ribosomal RNA". It matches the Rfam family "Bacterial small subunit ribosomal RNA", at positions 28 to 507 of the family's 1533-position model. The record is from RNAcentral.
GACGAACGCUGGCGGCGUGCUUAACACAUGCGAGUCGAACGGAAAGGCCCUGCUUUUGUGGGGUGCUCGAGUGGCGAACGGGUGAGUAACACGUGAGUAACCUGCCCUUGACUUUGGGAUAACUUCAGGAAACUGGGGCUAAUACCGGGUAGGAGCUCCUGCUGCAUGGUGGGGGUUGGAAAGUUUCGGCGGUUGGGGAUGGACUCGCGGCUUAUCAGCUUGUUGGUGGGGUAGUGGCUUACCAAGGCUUUGACGGGUAGCCGGCCUGGGAGGGUGACCGGCCACAUUGGGCCUGAGAUACGGACCAGUCUCCUACGGGAGGCAGCGGUGGGGAAUCUUGCACAGUGGGCGGAAGCCUGAUGCGGCAGCGCCGCGUGCGGGAUGCCGGCCUUCGGGUUGUAAACCGCUUUCGCCUGUGACGAAGCGUGAGUGACGGUAAUGGGUAAAGAAGCACCGGCUAACUACGUG